This 490-nucleotide ribosomal RNA is filed under the name Cladosporium cladosporioides. RNAcentral's name for it is "eukaryotic LSU rRNA". The stretch from base 135 to 288 matches the Rfam family "5.8S ribosomal RNA". Lineage: Eukaryota; Fungi; Ascomycota; Dothideomycetes; Cladosporiales; Cladosporiaceae. The record is from RNAcentral.
CGGGAUGUUCAUAACCCUUUGUUGUCCGACUCUGUUGCCUCCGGGGCGACCCUGCCUUCGGGCGGGGGCUCCGGGUGGACACUUCAAACUCUUGCGUAACUUUGCAGUCUGAGUAAACUUAAUUAAUAAAUUAAAACUUUUAACAACGGAUCUCUUGGUUCUGGCAUCGAUGAAGAACGCAGCGAAAUGCGAUAAGUAAUGUGAAUUGCAGAAUUCAGUGAAUCAUCGAAUCUUUGAACGCACAUUGCGCCCCCUGGUAUUCCGGGGGGCAUGCCUGUUCGAGCGUCAUUUCACCACUCAAGCCUCGCUUGGUAUUGGGCAUCGCGGUCCGCCGCGUGCCUCAAAUCGACCGGCUGGGUCUUCUGUCCCCUAAGCGUUGUGGAAACUAUUCGCUAAAGGGUGUUCGGGAGGCUACGCCGUAAAACAACCCCAUUUCUAAGGUUGACCUCGGAUCAGGUAGGGAUACCCGCUGAACUUAAGCAUAUCAAUA